AUUGCCUCAGUAACGGCGAGUGAAGCGGCAACAGCUCAAAUUUGAAAUCUGGCUCCUUUGGAGUCCGAGUUGUAAUUUGUAGAGGGUGCUUUGGCGUUGGUUGUGGUCUAAGUUCCUUGGAACAGGACGUCACAGAGGGUGAGAAUCCCGUACGUGGCCGCCAGCCUCCGCCGUGUAAAGCCCCUUCGAUGAGUCGAGUUGUUUGGGAAUGCAGCUCUAAAUGGGAGGUAAAUUUCUUCUAAAGCUAAAUAUUUGCCAGAGACCGAUAGCGCACAAGUAGAGUGAUCGAAAGAUGAAAAGCACUUUGGAAAGAGAGUCAAAAAGCACGUGAAAUUGUUGAAAGGGAAGCGCUUGCAGCUAGACGUGCCUUGGGUUGAUCAGCCGGACUUUUGCCCGGUGCACUCUUCCUUUGGCAGGCCAGCAUCAGUUUGGGCGGCUGGAUAAAGGUCUGUUAAACGUGACUUCCUUCGGGGAGAGCUUAUAGGGUAGACGACAUGCAGCCAGCCUGAACUGAGGUCCGCGCAUCUGCUAGGAUGCUGGCAUAAUAGCUGUAAGCGGCCCGUCUUGAAACACGGACCAAGGAGUCUAACAUCUAUGCGAGUGUUUGGGUGUCAAGCCCGAGCGCGUAAUGAAAGUAAACGUAGGUGGGAACCUUUUAGGUGCACCAUCGACCGAUCUUGAUGUCUUCGGAUGGAUUUGAGUAAGAGCAUAGCUGUUGGGACCCGAAAGAUGGUGAACUAUGCCUGAAUAGGGUGAAGCCAGAGGAAACUCUGGUGGAGGCUCGCAGCGGUUCUGACGUGCAAAUCGAUCGUC
Molecule: ribosomal RNA, 813 nt
Filed under: Lophiostoma caulium
Lineage: Eukaryota; Fungi; Ascomycota; Dothideomycetes; Pleosporales; Lophiostomataceae
Description: eukaryotic LSU rRNA
Rfam family: Eukaryotic large subunit ribosomal RNA
Source: RNAcentral